This 56-nucleotide transfer RNA is filed under the name Bos taurus (domestic cattle). The record is from Rfam by way of RNAcentral. Lineage: Eukaryota; Metazoa; Chordata; Mammalia; Artiodactyla; Bovidae.
GCUUAUUAUGGUAAAGCGUCUGCCUGCAAUGCAGGAGACUGAGGUUCGAUCCCUGA